This 440-nucleotide ribosomal RNA is filed under the name uncultured bacterium. Its description in RNAcentral is "partial 16S ribosomal RNA". It matches the Rfam family "Bacterial small subunit ribosomal RNA", at positions 338 to 795 of the family's 1533-position model. The record is from RNAcentral.
CCUACGGGAGACAGCAGUAGGGAAUAUUGCUCAAUGGGGGAAACCCUGAAGCAGCAACGCCGCGUGGAGGAUGAAGGUUUUCGGAUUGUAAACUCCUUUUGUUAGAGAAGAUAAUGACGGUAUCUAACGAAUAAGCACCGGCUAACUCCGUGCCAGCAGCCGCGGUAAUACGGAGGGUGCAAGCGUUACUCGGAAUCACUGGGCGUAAAGAGCGCGUAGGCGGGAUAGCAAGUCAGAUGUGAAAUCCUAUGGCUUAACCAUAGAACUGCAUUUGAAACUGUUAUUCUAGAGUAUGGGAGAGGUAGGUGGAAUACUUGGUGUAGGGGUAAAAUGCGUAGAGAUCAAGAGGAAUACUCAUUGCGAAGGCGACCUGCUAGAACAUAACUGACGCUGAUGCGCGAAAGCGUGGGGAGCAAACAGGAUUAGAUACCCGAGUAGUC